RNAcentral lists this transfer RNA (379 nucleotides) under Novacetimonas hansenii. RNAcentral's name for it is "Komagataeibacter hansenii partial 16S-23S ribosomal RNA intergenic spacer". The stretch from base 173 to 246 matches the Rfam family "tRNA". The record is from RNAcentral. Lineage: Bacteria; Pseudomonadati; Pseudomonadota; Alphaproteobacteria; Acetobacterales; Acetobacteraceae.
UUGCGGCUGGAUCACCUCCUUUCUAGAGAAUCAGAAGUCCAGGAGUCAGAGGACACAGGUCAGCGAUGAUUUCUGAGUGCUCGGGCUUUGGUGACUUCUCAAACCCGUCUUAGUGUCCACAGCCUAUCGGCUGGAAACAGUGCUCAGCUACGGGCUAUGUGUGUGAGCACGGGGGUCUGUAGCUCAGUUGGUUAGAGCACACGCUUGAUAAGCGUGGGGUCGGUGGUUCAAGUCCACCCAGACCCACCAGGGAUCGAAUCGGGGCUGUAGCUCAGCUGGGAGAGCACCUGGUUUGCAACCAGGGGGUCGUCGGUUCGAUCCCGAUCAGCUCCACCACCACAGUAGUCAGAUGUCAGAUAGCAGAUCUCAGCGAAGCAUU